RNAcentral lists this non-coding RNA (31 nucleotides) under Mus musculus (house mouse). Lineage: Eukaryota; Metazoa; Chordata; Mammalia; Rodentia; Muridae. The record is from RNAcentral.
UGCAACACAUCGCAUGGUCUUGCCCUGUUUU